AACACCUCAAAGCCUUCAAUUCAGUUUGGAAGCUUUGGACUUGAGCAAUCCCAACACCAGUCUCGCGACUGGCGGAGGGCUGCUUGAAAUGCAGGUGCAGCUGGACAUUCUCCUGAGCUAUAAGCAUAUUUAUUUAGUCCCGUCAAACGGAUUAUUACUUUUGCUGCAGCUAACAUAAAGGGAGUAUGACCGUAUUGGCUGACUGAUGCAGGAUUUCACAAGUGCUGGCAACAGCUUCUUGUAAA
RNAcentral lists this unclassified non-coding RNA (245 nucleotides) under uncultured Mortierella. RNAcentral describes it as "sequence contains ITS2". The record is from RNAcentral. Lineage: Eukaryota; Fungi; Mortierellomycota; Mortierellomycetes; Mortierellales; Mortierellaceae.